GACGAACGCUGGCGGCGUGCUUAACACAUGCAAGUCGAACGGUCUUAAUCUAACUGAAAUUUUCGGAUGGAAGUUUAAUUAAGGUAGUGGCGAACGGGUGAGUAACGCGUGGGUAACCUGCCCCUAUCACCGGGAUAACAGCUGGAAACGGCUGCUAAUACCGGAUAAUCUCGCAAAUAGGCAUCUAUUUACGAGUAAAAGAGGCCUCUAUUUAUAAGCUCCUGGAUAAGGAUGGACCCGCGUCUGAUUAGCUAGUUGGUAGGGUAACGGCCUACCAAGGCGACGAUCAGUAACCGGCCUGAGAGGGUGGUCGGUCACACUGGGACUGAGAUACGGCCCAGACUCCUACGGGAGGCAGCAGUGAGGAAUCUUCCGCAAUGGGCGAAAGCCUGACGGAGCAACGCCGCGUGAAUGAAGAAGGCCUUCGGGUCGUAAAGUUCUGUCUUUUGGGAAGAAGUCUCUAAGGGUAAAUAAUCCAUAGAGGUGACGGUACCAGAGGAGGAAGCUCCGGCUAACUACGUG
Molecule: ribosomal RNA, 522 nt
Filed under: uncultured organism
Description: bacterial SSU rRNA
Rfam family: Bacterial small subunit ribosomal RNA
Source: RNAcentral